RNAcentral lists this ribozyme (135 nucleotides) under Aedes aegypti (yellow fever mosquito). Its description in RNAcentral is "drz-agam-1 ribozyme". It matches the Rfam family "drz-agam-1 ribozyme". The record is from Rfam by way of RNAcentral. Lineage: Eukaryota; Metazoa; Arthropoda; Insecta; Diptera; Culicidae.
UGCCUAGCAACUCCUAUCCCUACCUCUUCAUGGUACUGCCCGGGGUACUGGCCGGAGUAUUAGCAACUCAAGCAAUUAGAGAAGAUCGGGUAACUAACCCCGGUCUCAACUUUGAUCGUAUGCUGAUAUGGAAGG